UAUUUAUCACCUGCUGUCUAUGACAUGUGUGCUUAUGACAAAUAUAUUAAUACCACACAAAGAUAAUUGUUCUCCUCCGGUUGCCGCAUCCGUCACCGCCCCACGCCCCCGCCUCCUUCACCACCUCCGUCCCCAUCGGAAGUCGCCGCCUUCGUCGCUCGGCAGUCCUUCGCCGCCUCCGUUGCUCGGCAGCCGCCUCCGCCUCAGAUCCGCAUCCGCCUCCAUCGCCGCCUCCCCCGCUCGGCAGCCGCCUCGCCCGUCGACUACGCCGUCGCCGCCUCCAACGCCGCCUCGGCCGUUGACUACGCCGUCGCCUCCGUCCCCGCCUCGGCCCGCCUCGACUCGAGCCGCCGGGCGCUCCAGAUUCGUGCAGAGUGAGAGUUGCUGUUAGGCUCCGACCAAAGAACUCUGAUGACUUAGCACAUGGCGCAGAUUUCGAUAGUUGUGUUGAGUUGCAGCCUGAGGUGGAGAUAUAUUUGGAACAAAGUAAGAACAACCUAGAUCAAGGAGGGUAAAACGCAAGGGAUUUACAUUUCUGGAGCAACAGAGGUCGAUGUUUUCAUAAGAAAAAUGAAUUCCAUCCCAGCCUUCACAUCUAACCUGACAAUGGAAUCCUUCAACAAGAGAAGUAUCUGUUGAAGACAAAAAUUCAGUGGAAAUUCAUAUUGCUGGAUUUUGUGGUUUAUCACAGCUUCUGAAGGUAACUGGAGGUCUCCAAAUUGAUAUGCUGUGGCAGCACAGGACCGUGAUCAAGCAGGCUCCAAGAAUUAUUUAUCAAGGAUUAUGGCGUUUUAGUACUAAAUUUAGAGCUUAGGUUUCAUGACCGAUGAAUUAUUGUCUGCUUUCAAGGAUAGCUAUGAGCUAAGGAGACAUUCAUUGAUACAUAUGCUGGCAUACUAAGGGAAUGAGGGAAAUCAUGAGGGAUCCACAUGUUGCUGCCGAUGGAUUCACAUAUGAAGGUGAGGCUAUAAGAGACUGGCUUCAAAGGGGGCAUAACAUAUCCCCCAUGACCUACCUCACUCACACACCACGAGCUGAUUCCUAGCAACGGCCAUCGUUUUGCCAUUCAAGAAUGGCAAAUGAAACAUAAAUUAUUACCUUUAAUUUAGUUUGUUUUUAUCGUGUAUCUACAGCUAAGAAAACAGUUUAAAUUGUGUAUAGUCUAGGGAAUAGACUACAACUACUAGUCAAGCUCAUAUAGGUGUGUUCUUUCAAUAUUUCUCUACAGGAUAGUAUCUUCGCUAAUUAAAGCCAAUAGAACACAUUAAGGCAUUGCCAACCUGUCUUGUAGCAAGAGAGUACAUGCAUCUUCACUUAG
Oryza brachyantha (malo sina) is the source of this 1318-nucleotide RNA transcript. It is a transcript of the gene named sulfated surface glycoprotein 185-like, with no coding region annotated. The transcript has 9 exons. NCBI's taxonomy places the organism in Eukaryota, Viridiplantae, Streptophyta, Magnoliopsida, Poales, Poaceae. The record is from RefSeq and is a predicted model, not a curated record.